GCAGGGUUGUGUUGUUUGGUAUCCUUCAGGACCACGAUGGUCAUCUGGAUCUCAUAGAAAUCAAGGCAUUAGAUCCCAUAAGAUUGAGGGGACAAAUCAUGGAUUAUAAACUGGAGAUGGCAAUUGGAUGGGAUCCGGCACGGAUCGAAUAAGAUAUAUAUCAGAUCAAAAAUUUAUCAACUUAAAUUUGAUCUAUUUAUUAAAUAUAUCAAAAAUUUAAAUCAAAAUUUAACUU
This 235-nucleotide long non-coding RNA is filed under the name Elaeis guineensis (African oil palm). Its description in RNAcentral is "long non-coding RNA (EGUI_LNC064898)". Lineage: Eukaryota; Viridiplantae; Streptophyta; Magnoliopsida; Arecales; Arecaceae. The record is from RNAcentral.